CAGAUAAGCUCUCGGUCCUGGUGGAGAUCAAUGAGAGGGCAUACGAGGCAAGAACUGGUGGUACUCUCGAGGGGGUACCUCCCAGGCGCAGGGGCGAGGGUCAGGAUAAUAUGGGAAAGUGGCAGGAUAACUUUGUCUCGUCACAGGGGCGGCAGGGUGGUGGCAACAGGUUUGGAUACUCCGGCAGAGGUGCAAUAUCUGGUCAAAGUGGUGGUGGACACCAGAGGGACAGGGGCAAUCAGGGUUACCGCGGGGGCUAUGGUGGCGUUUCAAGGUUUCAGGAUGCAAGGGGUCGCAACCAGUCUAUUCCAUCAGGCAGAGGUGGUGAUGGUGGUGCACGCAUGGUGAACCUGAACAGGAUGGGUAGAGUUUAGAAGUGAUAAUUUUCAGCUCGAGUAAGCCUGAAAUUCUCCUAAAAGCCAAGUUUUGAAUCACUGCUUUUUACAUAGUUUCCUGUUCUGGGCUGAGCCAUCCACCUGUUUCCUACAUUUCGUUGUAGCCUUUUAAUUUAAGGGGCUAGGAAAUUGAACUAAGAGUUUGGUACUGUUUCGUGGGAGUGUGACUUCACUCCAAUAUUUGAUAUCUAUCUGUGACACUUGCUAUAACCUGUACUUUUCUUGUUUGUGUUAUGUGGUUUUUAUUUGGUUAUGAAAAAUAAAAAGGCAUGUCGCAGAUAGAAGAUCGUUAUUCUAUUCGCGUUUGAAAAGCUUUACACCAAUCUCGAGAUGAACUUUUAGCAUAACACUUUUCUUGUGGUGUUCAUUUGGAUAAAUUUUCCGCGGUGGUGUCAGCCGUAUCUGUUGUGUGUGGCCGUGUGAAUGAAAUGGGCGGAAGCGUGGACGUGGAGCGGAGCGGAGCGGACGCCUUUUGCUCGUCUUCGGCUUUGAAUUUUCCGGCCGCUCGCCCAGUUUCCACUCGUUCAUCUCACGACUGGACACUUUCUAUCACAGCGCGCGCCGCCGUCGAACGUCACCGGCCGAGUGUUGCACAACGCGAAAUUGCGAGCGUCACCGGCAGAGUGUUUUGAAUGAUCUAGUCUAUUAUUUUUUCAUUAUUUAUUUUUUGUUUGGUUUGUGGAAUAAAAUAAGUUGAUCCGUCACAAUCUUAUUUCUUAUAAUUUAUUAGUUUUAAUAUAAGAAAUUGAGUCAUCCUACUAAAUUUGAGAAAUAUAUUUAUGAUACAACACUUUAUUUUAAAUGGAGUGAUUUCUCAAUCCAAACAUUCACCUACCUAAGCAGAGGAGCAAGCUACACACGGCGAAGUUGGGGGCAAUUGUGUGUUCCUGAUUUUGUCCCUCAAAAUUUGGCUUUGUGAGUUUAGGCCUCUUUUGAAAACGAAAAACAAAAACACGUCCCUGCUUCUGUUAGAUAGCAUUAACAAUAUGAAAUAGAAUAUACAAAGAUAAAUUUACUCUUCAGUCGUAAUUAUGAUUUUGUCCCUCUUUGAAAAUUAACUGUUUGUAAUUGUGAUUUUACCUCUGUUUUUUAAAGGAGUGAGCAAAAUCACAACUACGACUGAAGGGUAAAUUUGUCUUUGUAUAUCCUAUUUCACAUCAUUAUUGUUAUUUAACAGAAGCAAACUAUGGACAUGCUUGUUUUUUGUUUUCAAAAAGAGGCGUGAAAUAUCAAAGUCGAUUUUUGAGGGACAAAAUCACAUUUACUUCUAUCAGGGACAGGAACACAAUUGCCCAAUAAAUUAAUGUCGCUCCACUUGAAUGAAUCACAAACUUUUUUGUACUUUUUCCGAAGGGCAUUGAGAUUGAGAUCUAAAUAAAAACUACAUUGGAUAGUUAUUAAACACCUAUAAUUUCGUGUGAUCCUAAGUUUCAUGCCAACUUUUAACAUGAAGCCUAGGUAAGCGCUAGUACAUCAACUACCCAGAACCAACCAUUUUCAUGUGUUCAUAACUCCCACUUCUACUAUGACACUGUUUGAAUGCAUUAGAGCUAAUAGUUUAGCUAUUAGCUAUUUUUAUUAAAUUAUUUUCUCUAUCCCAUUAUAUAACGCAUAACCACAUUUGGUUCAAAGACAAAAAUGUAUUUAAUUCUCUAUCAACACCAGUAAAGGGUCGAUAUCAAUAUUUGUCAUGUUAGCACCAAUCACCAGCAAGCCGAUACCUUCGCUAAGCCUUUAGAUGAAAGAAUAUUUUGUGAGUUGUGUAGUGAGUUUAAUGUCUUAGAUUCACGGAACUUGGAUUAAUCUAUAGCAUACAUCAUUUAUGUAUCUUUGAUCAUGUUAAUUAUGUCUAUAAUUUGCUUUGUUGCUUAUUUUGGUGCUCAAGUUAUAGAAUGUCAUCCUCGGACCUCACAAGUCCUUGUGCAUUGAUGCAUAUAUUUAGGGGGAGGAUACACUACAACUUGACCCUUUGAGACUAAUGUGUUUGCUUGAGUGAUUUUGAUGUAGUCUCAAAGGUGGAAUGAAAGGAAAUUGAUGGAUUUGGACAAAGGAAAUGGCUUCCACUCAAUAACGGUAUCAACGUACUUUAGUCCAAAUUCUCUUGAUUUUCAUUGCCUUGUGCUCUUUAUUUGCAAUUUUUGGUGAUGCAAUGGGGUUUGAGGCCACUAGUGUCUCCGUUUUGGUGCUUAAUGCCAAAGGGAAAAAGUUAAGGCCAAAUCAACUGGAUCAGUUGACACUUGUGAAUUUCAAAAAGUUUUGUGUUUCGAACAUGUCUUUUUGAUCAAAACCCUCUUGAUAGCAAAGAUGAGCCCUCUGAUUGCAAAACUAUUCUCUUAUGUGGGAGAAAUCUUUCUUAUGGGAAAAUGUGAGAGUUUUUUUGUAUUUGAUCAAAACUAUUCUUGAAAAAUGGUUUGAUUUGCAAAACUAAAGUGUCUUGACUUAGAAGUUAGAAAAAUGAAUUUGUUUUGCAAAAACAAACCAAAUGGUGCCAAAACUAUCCAAAUAUGCCAAAUCAUAUGAAUCUCCAAUUGGCUUUUAAUUGGACUUCAAUUUGCAAAUAUUGAUGACUCAUAUCUAGUUAAGUUAGUAUUUUUGAGUUGCUUUAGAUGUGUUGGCAUAAAUCACCAAAAAGGGAGAGAUUGAAAUGGAAAUGUGCCCUUGGACCAUUUCUAGUUGUUUUGGUGAUUAAAUGCCCAACGCAUCAUUUUGAGCUAACCAUAUUGAUAAGAGCAUGAACACAUGUAAAGAAAGCAAAUUGAAGAUAUCAAGUUGAAAAGAGCACAUACAUGGACCAAGUGAGGAACUUGAUAUAAAAUGGUACAAGUCUAAGGUUUGCACUUGUAAAUAUGUUGCAUAGGUCCAUUACAAUGUUUCUAGUACUUGUGUUUGGGCUCUAACCUAUUUUGUAGAGAAAAGCACUUUUGGGCUUAAGUUUGCACGCAUUGCAAAUCAUUUUGAAAUGGAGUGAUAAAGGUAUGAUCCUAACACUUAGUCAAUUGCUUUGCUUUCUAACUAUGUUUGUCUACGUGCUAGAGAACUUCUCAAGUCGAGCCAAAAGAAGCCAAAGAAGUUUGGCACAAAAUAGAAGAAAGUGGUCUAGUGCGGGCAGCACCGGAUAGUCCGGUGCCCUCUACAACGAACUGGCCAGCCUCAGCCUCUGCUCGGCUCCCUCGGCUAAAAUCACCCGACAGUCCGGGUAGAGCACCGGGCAAUCUAGUGUACCAGGCGGUCAACGGCUACAUCGGCCACGUCAGCAGCGCCAACACUCAAAUGGGUCACUGGAGAGUCUGGUUCCCCCAGAUCAGGAAACCGACAAUGUCUGGUGCACCCGCGAACAGAUGAAGGUUGGUAGCUUCCAAAUGAAGCUCCAAGGGCUCCUAGGCCCUUUAGGCCUAUAAAAGAUACCCCUAGAUACCAUGGAGGAAGAAAGCAAGCAUUCUGAGAGCACACUACAACUCCGAAACCCCACAACAUGCCUUCAAAGUGUUUGAGAGAAAUUUGAGCGUGUUUCUGAGUUGUCAUUCCGUUGUUUUGUUCUUGCACUCUCUUCUUUGCUUGUGUGCGUGUUGUUUCUACGAUUGUGCUCUUGUGUGCGUGUUCUUACUCCCUCCCUUACUCCGGUUUUGAUUGUGAUCAUUUGUGUAAGGCGUGAGAGACUCCAACUUGUGGAGAUUCCUCAUAAACGGGGUCAAGAUAUAAGUCCUAGCUCUGAUACCAAUUGAAAGUUCACUUUGCCCGAGAACAUGAUCUAGAUGUCACCUGAAGGGGGGUGAAUAGGUAAAAUAAAAAUAACACUUAAAAAAACUAGAAAUUCUUACUCUACUCGAAGACUGGAUCGCAGUGGAAUGAAAGACCCUUCGAGUAGGUCGCAACGGAAAUGUUCCUGUCUCAAAUUACCCUGCACUUUGAAAGUCGCCUAGAGGGGGGGGGGGUGGUGAAUAGGGCGAAACUGAAAUUCUCAAAAAUAAUCACAACUACAAGCCGGGUUAGCGUUAGAAAUAUAAUCGAGUCCGCGAGAGAGGGCGCAAAACAAAUCGCAAGCGAAUAAUGAAGUGAGACACACGGAUUUGUUUUACCGAGGUUCGGUUCUCUCAAACCUACUCCCCGUUGAGGAGGCCACAAAGGCCGGGUCUCUUUCAACCCUUUCCUCUCUCAAACGGUCCCUCGGACCGAGUGAGCUACUCUUUCUCAAAUCACUUGGGAAUCAAACUUCCCGCAAGGACCACCACACAAUUGGUGUCUCUUGCCUCAAUUACAAGUGAGUGUUUGAUCACAAGAAAGAAUGCCAAAGAAAAAGAAGCGAUCCAAGCGCAAGAGCUCAAAUGAACACUACAAAUCACUCUCUCUAGUUACUAGGGCUUUGUGUGGAGUUGGGAGAGGAUUUGAUCUUUUUGAUGUGCUUUGCAAUGAAUGCUAGCUCUUGUAUAGUGGUUGGAAGCUGGAAAACUUGGAUGCUCUGAAUGGUGGGGUGGUUGGGGUAUUUAUAGCCCCAACCACCAAACUUGACCGUUGGUGGAGCUGUCUGUCGUAUGGUGCACCGGACAGUCCGGUGCACACUGGACAUGUCCGGUGCGACAGCCACGUCACCAAAUAGUCGUUGGGUCGACCGUUGGAGUUCUGACAGCUCGGCCCGCCUUGAUGUCCGGUGGCGCACCGGACAUGCACUGUAGAGUGUCCGGUGCGCCUGCUCCCGCGUGCCUGACGACUGCGCGCUUCUGGCGCGCAUUAAAUGCGCCUGCAGGUGACCGUUGGCGCGAAGUAGCCGUUGCCCAGAGGUUGCACCAGACAGUCCGGUGCACACCGGACAUGUCCGGUGAAUUAUAGCGGAGCAGCCUUGACGAAUUCCCGAGACUGGCGAGUUCCUGAGCCGCGUCUUCUAUGGAGCACCGGACACUGUCCGGUGUGCACCGGACAGUCCGGUGAAUUUUAGUGCGCUGGCUCUGGAAAAUCCCGAGGGCGAUGAGUUUGAGCUGAAGUCCUCUGGUGCACCGGACACUGUCCGGUGGCACACCGGACAGUCCGGUGCACCAGACCAGAGAAGUCUUUGGUUGCUCCUUUGCCCUUUUGUUGAACCCAACUCUUGGUCUUUUUAUUGGCUAAGUGUGAACCUUUUGCACCUGUAUAACUUAUACACUAGAGCAAACUAGUUAGUCCAAAGAUUUGUGUUGGGCAAUUCAACCACCAAAAUUAUUUAGGAACUAGGUGUAACCCUGAUUCCCUUUCAAUCUCCCCCUUUUUGGUGAUUGAUGCCAACACAAACUAAAGCAAAUAUAAUUUUGCAAAAUUAAACUAGUUUGCAUAAUGUAAGUGCAAAGGUUGCUUGGAAUUGAGCCAAUAUAAAUACUUACAUGAUGCGCAUGGAUUGUUUCUUUGUUUUUAACAUAUUGGACCACAUUUGCACCACGAGUUUUGUUUUGCAAAAUCUUUUGUAAAUUCUUUUCAAGGACUUUUUGCAAGAUAGUCAAAGGUAAAUGAGUAAGAUUUUUGCAAAAGCAUUUUCAAGCUUGAAAAAUUUCUCCCCUGGUUUCAAAUGCUUAUCCUUUGACUAAACAAAACUCCCCCUCAAAUAAAUUCUCCUCUUAGUGUUCAAGAGGGUUUUAAGAUAUCAAUUUUGAAAAUACUAUGCUCCCCCUUUAGAACACAAAGAGAUACCAAUUUUGAAAUUCACCAAUUGAAAAUCUCAUUUGAAAAUCUCAUCAAAUUUUUAAAAUUAAGUUUGGUGGUGCGGUCCUUUUGCUUUGGGCUCAUACUUUCUCCCCCUUUGGCAUGAAUCGCCAAAAACGAAAUCAUUAGAGCCCUACGAAGUACUUUCUCCUUCUUUGGUCAUAAGAUAAAUGAGUGAGGGUUAUACCAAAAUUGGAGAGAUGCUCGGAGUGACGGCGAAGGAUGAGUAGUGGAGUGGAAGCCUUUGUCUUCGCCGGAGACUCCAAUUCCCUUUCAAUAUACCUAUGACUUGGUUUGAAAUACACUUGAAAACACAUUAGUCAUAGCAUAUAAAAGAGACAUGAUCAAAGGUAUACUUGUGUGCUAUGUGUGCAAAUUAGCAAAAGAAGUUCCUAGAAUCAAGAAUAUUAAGCUCAUGCCUAAGUCUGGUAAAAGAUUGCUCAUCAAGUGGCUUGGUAAAGAUAUCGGCUAAUUGAUCUUUAGUAUUAAUGUAUGAAAUCUCGAUAUCCCCCUUUUGUUGGUGAUCCCGAAGAAAAUGAUACCGAAUGGCUAUGUGUUUAGUGCGGCUAUGCUCAACGGGAUUGUCGGCCAUUUUGAUUGCACUCUCAUUAUCACAUAGCAAAGGGACUUUGGUUAAUUUGUAACCGUAGUCCCGCAGGGUUUGCCUCAUCCAAAGUAAUUGCACGCAACAAUGGCCUGCGGCAAUGUACUCGGCUUCGGCGGUAGAAAGAGCAACCGAAUUUUGCUUCUUUGAAGCCCAAGACACCAAGGAUCUUCCCAAGAACUGGCAAGUCCCCGAUGUGCUCUUCCUAUUAAUCUUACACCCUGCCCAAUCGGCAUCCGAAUAACCAAUUAAAUCAAAAGUGGAUCCCCGAGGAUACCAAAGCCCAAACUUAGGAGUAUAAGCCAAGUAUCUCAAGAUUCGUUUUACGGCCGUAAGGUGUGAUUCCUUAGGGUCGGCUUGGAAUCUUGCACACAUGCAAACGGAAAGCAUAAUGUCCGGUCGAGAUGCACAUAAGUAGAGCAAUGAACCAAUCAUCGACCGGUAUACCUUUUGAUCCACGGACUUACCUCCCGUGUCGAGGUCGAGAUGCCCAUUUGUUCCCAUGGGAGUCUUGAUGGGCUUGGCAUCCUUCAUUCCAAACUUGCUUAAAAUGUCUUGAGUAUACUUCGUUUGGCAAAUGAAAGUGCCCUCUUGGAGUUGCUUGACUUGAAAUCCUAGAAAAUACUUCAACUCCCCCAUCAUAGACAUCUCGAAUUUCUGUGUCAUGAUCCUACUAAAUUCUUCACAUGUAGAUUUGUUAGUAGACCCAAAUAUAAUAUCAUCAACAUAAAUUUGGCAUACAAACAAAUCAUUAUCAAGUGUUUUGGUGAAUAAAGUAGGAUCAGCUUUGCCGACUUUGAAGCCAUUAGCUAUAAGGAAAUCUCUAAGGCAUUCAUACCAUGCUCUUGGGGCUUGCUUGAGCCCAUAAAGCGCCUUAGAGAGCCUAUAAACAUGGUUAGGGUACUCACCGUCUUCAAAGCCGGGAGGUUGCUCAACAUAGACCUCCUCCUUGAUCGGUCCAUUGAGGAAAGCACUCUUCACGUCCAUUUGAUAAAGCUUGAAGCCAUGGUAAGUAGCAUAGGCUAAUAAUAUGCGAAUUGACUCAAGCCUAGCUACGGGUGCAUAGGUUUCACCAAAAUCCAAACCUUCGACUUGUGAAUACCCCUUGGCCACGAGUCGAGCUUUGUUCCUAGUCACCACACCAUGCUCAUCUUGCUUGUUGCGGAAGACCCACUUGGUUCCUACAACAUUUUGGUUAGGACGUGGAACUAAGUGCCAUACUUCAUUCCUUGUGAAAUUGUUGAGAUCCUCUUGCAUCGCCAUCACCCAAUCUGAAUCUUGUAGUGCUUCCUCUACCCUGUGUGGCUCAAUAGAGGAAACAAACGAGUAAUGCUCACAAAAAUGUGCAAUACGAGAUCGAGUGGUUACCCCCUUAUGAAUAUCGCCUAGGAUGGUGUCGACGGGAUGAUCUUGUUGUAUUGCUUGGUGGACUCUUGGGUGUGGCGGCCUUGGUUCUUGCUCAUCCUCCUUUUCUUGAUCAUUUCCAUCUCCCCCUUGAUCGUUGCCGUCAUUUUGAGGUGGCUCAUCUUCUUGAUCUUCUUGUUCAACAUCCUGAGCCUCAUCCUCAAUUUGAGUUGGUGGAGAUGCUUGCAUGGAGGAGGAUGUUUGAUCUUGUGCAUUUGGAGGCUCUUCGGAUUCUUUAGGACACACAUCCCCAAUGGACAUGUUCCUUAGAGCGAUGCACGGAGCCUGUUCUUCACCUAUCUCAUCAAGAUCAACAUGCUCUACUUGAGAGCCGUUAGUCUCAUCAAACACAACGUCACAAGAAACUUCAACAAGUCCUGAGGACUUGUUAAAGACUCUAUAUGCCCUUGUGUUUGAGUCAUAUCCUAGUAAAAAACCUUCUACAGUUUUAGGAGCAAAUUUUGAUUUUCUACCUCUUUUAACAAGAAUAAAGCAUUUGCUACCAAAAACUCUAAAAUAUGAAAUAUUUGGCUUUUUACCAGUAAGGAGUUCAUAGGAUGUCUUCUUGAGGAUUCGGUGAAGAUAUAACCGGUUGAUGGCGUAGCAGGCGGUGUUGACCGCCUCGGCCCAAAACCGAUCCGGUGUCUUGUACUCAUCAAGCAUGGUUCUUGCCAUGUCCAAUAGAGUUCGAUUCUUCCUCUCCACUACACCAUUUUGUUGUAGAGUGUAGGGAGAAGAGAACUCAUGCUUGAUGCCCUCCUCCUCAAGAAAGUCUUCUAUUUGUGAGUUCUUGAACUCCGUCCCGUUGUCGCUUCUGAUUUUCUUGAUCCUUAAGCCGAACUCAUUUUGAGCUCGUCUCAAGAAUCCCUUCAAGGUCUCUUGGGUAUGAGAUUUUUCCUGCAAAAAGAACACCCAAGUGAAGCGAGAAUAAUCAUCCACAAUAACUAGACAGUACUUACUCCCGCCGAUGCUUAUGUAAGCAAUCGGGCCGAAUAAAUCCAUGUGUAGUAGCUCCAGUGGCCUGUCACUAGUCAUGAUGUUCUUGUGUGGAUGAUGAGUGCCAACUUGCUUCCCGGCUUGGCAUGCGCUACAAAUCCUGUCUUUCUCAAAAUGAAUAUUGGUUAGUCCUAAAAUGUGUUCUCCCUUUAGAAGCUUGUGAAGAUUCUUCAUUCCAACAUGGGCUAGUCGGCGGUGCCAGAGCCAACCCAAGUUAGUCUUAGCAACCAAGCAAGUGUCGAGUUCAGCUCUAUCAAAAUCUACCAAGUAUAGCUGACCCUCUAACACUCCCUUAAAUGCUAUUGAAUCAUCACUUCUUCUAAAGACAGUAACACCUAUAUCAGUAAAUAGACAGUUGUAGCCCAUUUGACAUAAUUGGGAUACGGAAAGCAAAUUGUAAUCUAAUGAAUCAACAAGAAAAACAUUGGAAAUAGUAUGGUCAGGUGAUAUAGCAAUUUUACCCAAUCCUUUGACCAAACCUUGAUUUCCAUCCCCGAAUGUGAUAGCUCGUUGGGGAUCUUGGUUUUUCUCAUAUGAGGAGAACAUCUUCUUCUCCCCUGUCAUGUGGUUUGUGCACCCGCUGUCGAGUAUCCAACUUGAGCCCCCGGAUGCAUAAACCUACAAAACAAUUUUAGUUCUUGACUUUAGGUACCCAAACGGUUUUGGGUCCUUUGGCAUUAGAAACAAGAACUUUGGGUACCCAAACACAAGUCUUGGAGCCCUUGUGUUUGCCCCCAACAAACUUGGCAACUACCUUGCUGGAUUUGUUAGUUAAAACAUAUGAUGCAUCAAAAGUUUUGAAUGAAAUAGCAUGAUCAUUUGAUGCAUUAGGAGUUUUCUUUCUAGGCAACUUGGCACGGGUUGGUUGCCUAGAGCUAGAUGUCUCACCCUUAUACAUAAAAGCAUGGUUAGGGCCAGAGUGAGACUUCCUAGAAUGAGUUUUCCUAAUUUUGCUCUCAGGAUAGCUGGCAGGGUACAAAAUGUAACCCUCGUUAUCCUGAGGCAUAGGAGCCUUGCCCUUAACGAAGUUAGAUAAAUUCUUUGGAGGGGCAUUAAGUUUGACAUUGUCUCCCCUUUGGAAGCCAAUGCCAUCCUUGAUGCCCGGGCGUCUCCCACUAUAGAGCAUACUUCUAGCAAAUUUAAACUUUUCAUUUUCCAAGUUAUGCUCAACAAUUUUUGCAUCUAAUUUUGCUAUAUGAUCAUUUUGUUGUUUAAUUAAGACCAUGUGAUCAUGAAUAGCAUCAACAUCAAUAUCUCUACAUCUAGUACAAAUAGAAACAUGCUCAACGGUAGAUGUAGAGGGUUUGCAAGAUUUUAAUUCAACAACCUUAGCAUGUAAUAUAUCAUUAUCACUUCUAAGGUUGGAAAUAGUAACAUCAAAAUCCUUAGCCUUAGCAAUUAAAUUUUCAUUUUCUAUUCUAAGGCUAGCAAGAGAUACAUUCAAUUCAUCAAUCUUGGCAAGCAAAUCAUCAUUAUUAUUUCUAAGAUUGGGAACAUCACAAACAUGAGAAUCAACCUUAGCAAUUAAUCUAGCAUUUUCAUUUCUAAGGUUGUUAAUAGUGUCAUGGCAUGUGCUUAGCUCAUUAGAUAAUUCGUUACAUUUUUCUACCUCUAGAGCAUAAGCAUUUUUAACCUUAACAUGCUUCUUAUUUUCCUUGAUUAGGAAGUCCUCUUAGGAGUCCAAGAGAUCGUCCUUUUCAUGGAUGGCACUAAUUAGCUCAUUUAAUUUUUCUUUUUGUUCCAUGUUAAGGUUGGCAAAAAGGAUACACAAAUUAUCUUCCUCACCACUAGCAUUAUCAUCACUAGAAGAUUCAUAUUUAGUGGAGGAGUUAGAUUUAACCUUCUUCCUUUUGCCGUCCUUUGCCAUGAGGCACUUGUGGCCGACGUUGGGAAAGAGAAGCCCCUUGGUGACGGCGAUGUUGGCGGCGUCCUCGUCGGAGGAGGACUCGGUGGAGCUCUCGUCGGAGUCCCACUCGCGGCACACGUGGGCAUCGCCGCCCCUCUUCUUGUGGUACUUCUUCUUCUCUCUUCUCUUGCCCUUCUUGUCGUUGUCCCUGUCACUGUCACUUGAUAAUGGACAUUUAGCGAUAAAGUGACCGGGCUUACCACACUUGUAGCAAACCUUCUUGGAACGAGAUUUGUAAUCCUUCCCCUUCCGUUGCUUAAGGAUUUGCCGAAAGCUUUUGAUGAUUAAGGCCAUCUCUUUAUUGUCGAGCUUGGAGGCGUCAAUUGGUUGUCUACUUGGUGUAGACUCCUCCUUCUUCUCCUCCGUUGCCUUAAAUGCCACCGGUUGCGCCUCGGACGUGGAGGGUUCGUCAAGCUCGUUGAUCUUCUUUGAGCCUUUAAUCAUGCAUUCAAAACUCACAAAAUUCCCGAUAACUUCCUCGGGGGUCAUUAGUGGAUAUCUAGGAUUACCACGAAUUAAUUGAACUUGAGUGGGGUUAAGGAAAAUAAGAGCUCUUAAAAUAACCUUAACCACCUCAUGGUCAUCCCACUUUUUGCUCCCGAGGUUGCGCACUUGGUUCACCAAGGUCUUGAGCCGGUUGUACAUGUCUUGUGGCUCCUCCCCUUGGCGAAGACGGAAGUGACCGAGCUCCCCCUCGAUCGUUUCCCGCUUGGUGAUCUUGGUAAGUUCAUCACCCUCGUGCGCGGUCUUGAGUAGGUCCCAAAUCUCCUUUGCAUUCUUCAACCCUUGCACUUUGUUGUAUUCCUCCUUGCUUAGAGAAGCGAGGAGUAUGGUUGUGGCUUGGGAGUUGAAGUGCUCGAUUUGGGCUACUUCGUCCGUGUCAUAAUCCUCAUCCUCUACAGAUGGUACCUGUACACCAAACUCAACGACAUCCCAUAUACUUUUGUGGAGUGAGGUUAGAUGAAAUCGCAUUAAAUCACUCCACAUAGCAUAAUCUUCACCAUCAAAAGUUGGUGGUUUGCCUAAUGGGACGGAAAGUAAGGGUGUAUGUUUAGGAAUGCGAGGGUAGCGUAGGGGAAUCUUACUAUACUUCUUACGCUCUUGGCGUUUAGAAGUGACGGACGCCGCGUCGGAGCCGGAGGUGGAUGUCGAUGAAGAAUCGGUCUCGUAGUAGACCACCUUCCUCAUCCUCUUCUUCUUGUCCCCGCUCCGAUGUGGCUUGUGGGAAGAGGACUUUUCCUUCUUCUCUUUGUGAUGUGAAGAAGAUUUAUCCUUCCCUUUGGAGGAGUCCUUCUUCUUUUCUUCGUGGUGUGAAGAAGAUCUUUUCUCCUUCCCUUUGGAGGAGACCUUCCUCUUCUCCUUCCUCUUGGUGCGGGACUCUUCUGAUGAAGUGAUCCCGUGGCUUGUAGUGGGCUUUUCUCCGGUCUCCAUCUCCUUCUUGGCGUGAUCUCCCGACAUCACUUCGAGCGGUUAGGCUCUAAUGAAGAACCGGGCUCUGAUACCAAUUGAUAGUCGCCUAGAGGGGGGGGGGUGAAUAGGGCGAAACUGAAAUUUACAAAUAUAAACACAACUACAAGCCGGGUUAGCGUUAGAAAUAUAAUAGAGUCCGCGAGAGAGGGCGCAAAACAAAUCGCAAGCGAAUAAUGAAGUGAGACACGCGGAUUUGUUUUACCGAGGUUCGGUUCUCUCAAACCUACUCCCCGUUGAGGAGGCCACAAAGGCCGGGUCUCUUUCAACCCUUCCCUCUCUCAAACGGUCCCUCGGACCGAGUGAGCUACUCUUUCUCAAAUCACUUGGGAAUCAAACUUCCCGCAAGGACCACCACACAAUUGGUGUCUCUUGCCUCAAUUACAAGUGAGUGUUUGAUCACAAGAAAGAAUGCCAAAGAAAAAGAAGCGAUCCAAGCGCAAGAGCUCAAAUGAACACUACAAAUCACUCUCUCUAGUUACUAGGGCUUUGUGUGGAGUUGGGAGAGGAUUUGAUCUUUUUGAUGUGCUUUGCAAUGAAUGCUAGCUCUUGUAUAGUGGUUGGAAGCUGGAAAACUUGGAUGCUCUGAAUGGUGGGGUGGUUGGGGUAUUUAUAGCCCCAACCACCAAACUUGACUGUUGGUGGAGCUGUCUGUCGUAUGGUGCACCGGACAGUCCGGUGCACACCGGACAUGUCCGGUGCGACAACCACAUCACCAAAUAGUCGUUGGGUCGACCGUUGGAGUUCUGACAGCUGGGCCCGCCUUGAUGUCCGGUGGCGCACCGGACAUGCACUGUAGAGUGUCCGGUGCGCCUGCUCCCGCGUGCCUGACGACUGCGCGCUUCUGGCGCGCAUUAAAUGCGCCUGCAGGUGACCGUUGGCGCGAAGUAGCCGUUGCCCAGAGGUUGCACCGGACAGUCCGGUGCACACCGGACAUGUCCGGUGAAUUAUAGCGGAGCAGCCUUGACGAAUUCCCGAGACUGGCGAGUUCCUGAGCCGCGUCUUCUAUGGAGCACCGGACACUGUCCGGUGUGCACCGGACAGUCCGGUGAAUUUUAGUGCGCUGGCUCUGGAAAAUCCCGAGGGCGAUGAGUUUGAGCUGAAGUCCUCUGGUGCACCGGACACUGUCCGGUGGCACACCGGACAGUCCGGUGCACCAGACCAGAGAAGUCUUUGGUUGCUCCUUUGCCCUUUUGUUGAACCCAACUCUUGGUCUUUUUAUUGGCUAAGUGUGAACCUUUUGCACCUGUAUAACUUAUACACUAGAGCAAACUAGUUAGUCCAAAGAUUUGUGUUGGGCAAUUCAACCACCAAAAUUAUUUAGGAACUAGGUGUAACCCUGAUUCCCUUUCACACUUCAAAGACAACUUGUACCAUAGAUAAGUAUUGAAGUGCAAGUAUAAAAAGCAAAUAAGAUAGAGAGACAACACACAACACAGAGCAGAGCUCAUAGACAUAGGGAUUUAUCCCAAGGUUCGGCCAAGCCUGAAAUGCUUGCCUAGUCAUCGUUGCUGUUAGACACACCUUGGCUUGGAUUCUAUUUCAACUCCUUCCUCCGUUUGCUCAGAUCUGUCAAUGUGACUGAUAGAGCCUUUCACUAUAUUGAUGAUGGUUACAACGAUACCGCGACUGCUUAAAGUCUUCUUGACAGCACUCCGGCAGAGUAACAACGCUCAAGGUCUUGCUCUUGCUCUCAGUAGCACCUCCCCUCUCUCUAAAGGCUUAUAAUUGUGCCUCUACAUAAACUAGAAAGAUACACAAGAGAGGGAGAGAAAGAUUUGAUCACAAUGAUGUAUGGAAUUGUUGGCUGCACUUGUACUCUUGUUGGAGGCGCCUAGGGGUCCCUUCUAUAGUUCCAAGGGGCCUAGGAGCCGUUGGAGCUUUAUUUGGAAGCUCCCAGCCUUCCCUGUCUGCUGGUGCACCAGACACCGGACAUCGCACAGUAACAGUCGCCUGCAGAUCUGAUUGGUAGUUUCCUUCUUUGAAAGGGCUAGUCGUUAGUGCACCGGAUAUGUUACUAUUCGUUGUUAUGUGCACCGGACAUGUUACUAUUCACUACCCUGUGCGCCAGACAUGUUACUAUUCAUUGUCCUAUGCGCAAGCCAACAACACACUAGGUGCUUUUCCCUCCAUUCUUUCUCCAUUUGACUUCAACUUUUGGGAGCAUUUUCUUGAGACAAAGACAAACACAUUUAGAGUAUACUCCAAUUUUCUUGUGGCUUACACCAUAUAACCAUAGUAUCACCUCAUUGGUUAUAAGUCACGUUCUUAAGUCGUGAUCCUCGGUGCACUAUAUCUCUUCUCAACUCGUUCAACCUUGACUUUGCAAGUCUUCUUCUUCACACUUGGCUUUGGGUUCCUCGGCCUUUUUGACAUUCUCCCGUGCACACUGCAUCUCGAAGCUCUUCUUGCCUCCAUCAUUGGCUUGAUCAGUUGUCUUUAAGUUACGCACACCGAGUCUCACUUAAACAAUGUACAUCUUACUUGUGAUGUCCAUUAUCCCUAAACAUUCUAGUCUUUGGACCAUCACACUUGUUCACUUGUGUUGAACCAUGUAAGCUUUGCACUAAGCACCUGUUCAACACUUAGCACACCUGUUAGUACUUUAAUUGGGUUGUCAUCCAAACCACUAAAACCCACAAUAGAGCUUUCAAAAAGACCUCCAGAUUUCUUCGCUUUUUUGCUUUUACUGCCAAAGGGGGAGAAAUUAAUGGGCCAAAGCAAAAGGACCACACCACCACCUUGUUUCCUCAAAACUUUUUAUCUUCCAAAUUUAUACUACUGCAUUUGCGAAAACCCUCUUGAGUCUUGAUAGCUAAGACGAGAAAAACUAUUUGUGCCAAAGGAGAGAACUUAUUUACGGGGAGAUUUUAUUAGGCCAAAGGAAAAACAUUUUAAAAAGAGGAUAAUCAUUCAAACUAAGAAAUGCUUUUGAAAAUCCUAUUUUUACACCUUAGGCCAACUGCAAAUGAAUUUGAAAAGAUCUUACCAAAAGAUUUGCAAAAACAAGCUAAGUGGUGCAAAUGUGGUCCAAAAUUUUAACUAUGUCAAAAACAUACAUAUAUACUUAGAACUGCUUUCACUUCAGCAACUUAUGCACUCUUGUCAAUUUGCAAAGUAGUUACAUUUCUCCACUUUAUAUUUGCUUUGAUUUGCGUUGGCAUCAGUCACCAAAAAGGGGUGAUUGAAAUGAAAAUGGUCUUUACCAUUUUCUCUAUCGGGGCGUUUGGAUUGUCAAUUUGCAAAGUAGUUACAUUUCUCCACUUUAUAUUUGCUUUGAUUUGCGUUGGCAUCAGUCACCAAAAAGGGGUGAUUGAAAUGAAAAUGGUCUUUACCAUUUUCUCUAUCGGGGCGUUUGGAUCUAUUCAUUUUUGAGAAAUUGGAAUUUACUUAAUGAAGUAACUUAUUUGGCUUGGAAUUUAACGUUCCACCACUUUCUAAAGUUCGGAUACAAGCCUAUCUCAAAUUCAUAGGGUAGAUGAUGAGAAAUGAUUUUAUGUAUCAGUAGAAUAUGUUUCCACUCUGCAACUUAUAGGACGUUCUUCAGCUCACUCAUUUAUAGUAAAAAUAUAGCACAUAAAUAUCUUCGACAUCUCGCUAAUAAUAAUAUACAGAUAUAUUUUGCAUAAAAUUGUAUUGGCUUAAUUGAUAUUUGCCUAAAAUAUUAGAAUGGAAUUCAAUUACAAGGAUCCAAACGAGGUGUAAUUUAUUUUGGUGCUUGAUGACCAUCACAACCUUAUGGACUAACUAGUUUUUCUAUUUGAUUGAUUCACAUGUGCAUAAGUCUAUCCAUCUCAAAUUUAAAUCGAUUGUCCGAAAUAACAUAAAUUAUUCUGGACAUGAGAGUUUUUUGGAAAAAUUUCUGUGCGUAGACCGUUAGGGCUCUUUCGGCGGACCAUACGCGACACCUCGGACAGGAACUGUGUAAAUUUUAACACUUCUACUACAAACUGUUCAAAGGAGAGAAGAGCACCGUCCGGGACUAAGCGUCGACCGUCCGUCCCUCAGGAGCGGAAUGUCCGCCAGAUGAAAACCAGAAAAACUCGAAGGUGCAGGGUUCGCUAAAAACCAUUUUUGGCGUCCCCGUGGACUGUUCAGGGUGCACGACCGAACCAUCUGCGACUGCCUUAUUUAACAUCUGGCGAAGCAUUUAAUACGCUUAUAGCUGUUUAUAUAGUCGUUACUGCUGGCCGUUGCGAUUCCCGUCGUUGAUGUGCAGGGACGGACCGUCUGCGUGUGGUAGGAAAGUUGACAACGGUAAUAUGAUGGUUGAUGGUUAUAAAUACAACCACUUCCAUUGAAUUUACCCAAGCCUCUACAACUCUCAUUCAUUGCUAAAAGCAAGUUCUUCACUUUAUCCACACUCAAAGCAUCAAAGUCCUCUUCAAGUGAUCAUUAGUGAUUAGUGCUUUAGAAAGCCUCAAGAGAGUGUGACAUUGUGAUUUUGUUGUUGCUCUUUUGGCUUGGUUUUUUUUACCGUGAUUUCUUCAUCUCCUUAUAGACUCUCAUUGACUUGUAAAGCUAGCAAGAGACACUUAAGUGUGUGGUGAUCCUUGCAGGAUCUAAGUGACCUUCAAGAUUAAGGAGAAGCACUCAACCGGUCUAAAUGACCGUUUGAGAGAGGGAAAUGGUUGAAAAUGAUCCGACCUACGUGGCCUACUCAACGGUGAGUAGGUUCUUUGGAACCGAAUCUCAGGAAACAAAUCGUCGUGUUUAUUUGUGUUGAUCAUGACUUUGCGAUUUCAUCGUUUCUCUUUCAUCUCUCUAAAGUCUAAAGUUCUCUUACUUAUCAUUAUAAGUUAGCUUACAAAGUUAUCCACAUUGAUUGGCAAGAAGAACCCUCUUCCGCACUCCGGUUAUAUUCAUAUUUGUUCUAACACUAACCUUGGGAGAAGAUUGUGUUUAAAGUUUAUAAUUUUCAGGUUUUGUCUCUAGACGACUUUCAAUAUUAUUUCAUUUUGUACUCGUUAAUACAAGUGAAGUCAAGUUAAAUUUAGUUAAAUUCUUUUGGUAUAUUGUGUUACACUUGUAAGUUGUUGCUAUGAAAUGAUGAAUUGUCAUGCAUGUUAAAACCUUAAAGACGUAUAUAUAAUAUUACUGUAAGAUUAUGAUGUAUUUGUUACGUUGAUUUGAUCACUUGAAAUGGUUAGAUGUAUUGAUAUUCCUUAUUUUAAUUUCCAGUUUCUAGUCGUUACCGAUAUGUUCCCGAUGGAUUAUAUCGUUUACUGUCAUCCUAUUACGUCUGUUUUAUUUUUCUGACCGACGAUUACGUUGCCGUUUCUGAUUUUAAAUUAAAAAUAUGAAUUUGAAAGUGGUUAGAUGGUUUGCCGACCGUCUAUUUUGAUCCCUAGCAUGGUGUACACAUCCCGCGUGUGAAGUUUCAGACCCGGUCACCGAGAAGCGGCUAUUGGGGAAUGAUCCCAGCUCAGUUCUUGCUUGUUUAGUAGUGCAUGUGCCUCUCUAGACUCUUCUGUCCAAAUCCAAUAAUGACAUUUUUUACAAAUUAAAAUACUCUUUGCUUCUCUAGCAAACUACGCGUUCGGGCGUGGCAUCUACGGAUAGUGGCAUCUAGCAAUAGUCAAAUUCGAUCACAAAAAACAAGUACUGAGCUCUUCACCAUCGUCGUCUUGGCCAAGAUGUCAAACAAGAUAAAUCCUAUAUAAUAGCAUCCUGUUCCAUCAUUAUAUCAAACUAACAGUUUUGUUUUUUUUAUCAUAUCGUGACAUUACCCAGUUGACCAAAUGGUUAAUUUUGAAAAGAGGAGCAUUUGCCGUUUCUUGCAUUGCAAAAGGCACGCAGUUUCCUGUUUGACCUGCAUCCAUAUGUGCCAAGCAUAAAAGCCUGAUGUAUUGAGUGUAUUGGUACUUGGUAGUAAGGUACUACCUUCCUGAUUAGCAUCAUGUACUUCUGCGUGUUUGGUUUCCUAAAGAGGCACAUCAUCAAGCAAAUAGGUGACAUGAUGCUUUAUGUCUUAUUCUUACAUGCAUCUCAGUUUCAUGGUUUCUUCAGUCUUGUUUCUUUCUCUCUGUCUUUUUAUUUGUGUUUUUAUGAAGUUAUGUUCCAAAAUUGACAAAAGGAAUAGCUCAUACACACUUGAUAAUAUGCUUUCUUCUUUUUAUCAGCAUAUUUCUCAAUCCAUUCUAACGUUGUCACUUCCAAAAUCCUGCUGUCGCUCAGGUUAUGAAACCUGCAUUCUUUCCAUUGAGGCAGAUGUUUAGAUGUACCUAUCAUUGUUUAACUUAUAUGGAAUGCUAUGUAGGUUUGUUGAAUGCUCCGAACAAAAGGACUAUGAGUCUGUUUGGUUUCAUACCUAAGACGUCACAAUCUGUCUAACCUUAAUCACUUGAAUUGAAGAAAUAAGGUUAGACAGAAAAGUUAGACACGUUGUGGCGCCUUAGACAGCAAACCAAACGGUCCCUGUGUUUGUCACUUCGUUAACUCUUCACCAAAUUGCAGGCUCACGGAGGAUACGGAAACCGUUUCAGAUUGUUGGAGAAGAUAGAUCAACAGCAGCUGCAGACGACUACAUAUAUGAAGAUGAUUCUGUGAAAAGAUCAAUCUUGAGCUCACCUUUAGUUGAGUUCAGCAGUGUUUAUUCAGCAACAAACAAUUUCAGCGAAAAGCUUGGCGAAGGUGGAUUUGGCCCAGUUUUCAAGGUGGAGCUAGUAUUGGAUAAAUCAUACACUUCCUCCAACUGUUAUGAUAUGGUCAAGUGUCCAAUUAGUUCCUUUCACGUGGAUAACCAUAGUGGAUACUUGAUUCUAUCUCCAGGGGAUACUACCUGACGGCCAAGAGAUCGCUAUUAAGAGGCUAUCUAAGACCUCCGCGCAGGGACUGGAGGAGUUCAAGAACGAGGUGACGGUGCUAUCCAAGCUGCAGCACCGGAACUUGGUGAGGCUUUUCGGUUGUUGUGUUCAUGGAGAGGAGAAGAUGAUGGUGUACGAAUACAUGCCCAACAAGAGUCUGGACUCAUUUAUUUUCAGUAAGUUUUCAGCUACCUGGAGCCCUGAUUCUAUACAGAUACUCUAUACAGUGAGCCAGCAAACGAACCCAAAUUUUUCCUAUGGACAGUUAACACUUCCUAUCGAAAUUUCCAGACGAAAGUAAGAGGCUCGUGUUAGGCUGGAGUCUGCGAUACAAGAUCAUUCAGGGAAUCGGGAGAGGGUUACUGUACCUCCACCAGGAUUCCAGGCUGAAAAUUAUUCACAGGGAUCUCAAGGCGAGCAACGUUCUGCUAGACGAUGAUUUCAGCCCCAAGAUCUCGGACUUUGGCAUGGCUAGGAUUUUCGGUGAACACCAGCUUCAAGACCUUACCCGUCGAAUCGUCGGAACCUAGUAAGGCUAGCUGUUUCUCUCUCUCUCUCUCUCUCUCUCUCUCUCUCUCUCUCUCUCUCUCUCUCUCUCUCUCUCUCUCUCUCUCUCUUUGUCAGUAUACAGUAUAGCUGAACAGGGAGUUCCAAUGCAUUUAUCUACCUCUGUAAUGGCUGGUUUACUGCUGCUAAGUAACUGCGUGAUCUGCAUCUUCUCUGUCGUAGUAGCCUUUGUAAUACUUUCUUACUGCUUCAUUCGGAUAGUAGACUGGUUCACAUCACCUGAUGACGACCUGCAGCUAACGCGAUAGAAUCUGUGGAACGCAGUGGCUACAUCUCCCCGGAGUACGCAAUGGAGGGCAAAUUCUCUGACAAAUCUGACGUAUUCAGUUUCGGCGUGCUGGUCCUAGAGAUCGUGAGUGGCCGCAGGAACAGCUCCCUCCUCGACGAUGAGUGGUCAAUGAACCUCUUGGGCUAUGUAAGAUGACACUGUCUCCUCCUCUACUCAGCAUAUACUUCUUUUCUGUUCAGAAACGAAUGAAUAUAAUAAUGUUCCAGGCAUGGACCCUGUGGAAGGAAGGCAGCGUCUCGGAGCUCAUCGACCCGCUCAUGGGAGCAACGUACGCUUACGAUGAAGCCUGCAGAUGCGUUCAGGUGGGUCUCCUGUGCGUGCAGGAGGUACCAGCCGAGAGGCCAGCCAUGCCCCUGGUGCUCAGGAUGCUGAGUGGUGACGCCGCGAUCCCGUCCCCGAAGCAAGCUGCGUUUUUCGUUGGGAGGGCACCUCGUCUUCCUCCUGCGGAUGACAGUAGUAAUACUGAAUCGGGGAAUCAAUUGACGUGCACGGAUCUUCAGGGCAGAUAGUCUCAGUCUCAGUCUCAGGGUGCACAAGCUUAUUCACGCCGUAUGUCGUAGCCGUACGUGGACAUGGCCUUGUGUUACACAGAUUAUAUUGCUGCUAGUGCUCGUGUUGUAAUUUCGCUGUAUAUAUAUCGUACCCGUAUGUGUGUUGUCGUUUGACACUGUAAAUUGUAAAUGUGAUGCUAGAACUGUUCUUCCUCAUGCACCUUGGAGAUCUAGGAGAGGAUGGCUAUCUACUGCUCUUUGGUUUGGUCCAAUCAAGCCCACGGCAAACGCGGGCCUUGUCAGUACGUCAUCGCGGGACGACAAUUCGGUCAUGGUCGCUUGUCGGUGACACCUCUCGAUCGCUCGCUCGCUGCCUCAGUAAAUUCACCAAACGAAACGAGUGAAGAAGGUGGACUCCCCAGUCCCCACUAGUUUGUCAGUCUCCCAAACAGCUGUCGCCUGUUAAUAGUCGGUGCUGCUACGAGCAGACGUCUAGCAACUAGUCUCAAGAGUCUCUCUCCAGGGUUUGCUUUCAGACGCGAUGUGAGGCAUGCAGCGUAUAAACUUGACCAUGUGGCAUAACUAGCAGUGGAUACGCAAGAGACCACUUGUUAAGCCACAUCACCGUCCAUAUUUUGGUUGUGUUUCUUUUAUACAAUAACAAAACUUGAUAUUGUGCGUGCUAGCUAGGAUGAUCUAGCCGUGUACACCUUCUAGAGCGCUUAUUAGAAACGUACGUGCAGUUUGUAUAUAUAAUUAAAUUGUUAUUUCUUAGUUGUAACAAUACAUAUUUUUUGUUCUAGAAUGUUGGCGCUGCCUACCGGAAUGUGCAGCUCGACGGCGAUCGGUAACAUAGGAAUUGUGUCUACCGCGUCGCACAAUCCUCUAACACACGCGAACACAAGAGAAUGCCGCUACCAAGAGUUGCAGCCUUUUCGGUUUCAUUUGUUCCUCUUAUAUACUGGUGUUUACACGAACUGCAUCUUAAGACCCCCCGUUAUGCAUGACCAUGUUGCGUCGUGCUCGGCUAAAACGCGAGGAUGUUUCAUGGUUGCACCGUGAACAUAGCUCGUUCUCACAUGCAGCUAGUUAAAAAUAGUUAAGCAAACACGCAUUACCAAAUUACAUGAAUGGGAAUGCAAAUCAUGCACGAGAUUGACCCCCUAAUCCCAUUGCACAUCGAUCACUCCUUGCUGCUGCCUUAGCUCGAUGAAUCCGACCUUGCCAAGUGCCUUUGUCAUCAACUAACUGGUUCUGUGUGCUCACAUGGUUGAUGUCAAUCAUGUAUUUGUCAACACAUUCUCUAAUAAAAUAGUACCUUGUAUCUAUGUGCUUGCUUCGUUCAUGAUGAACUGGAUUUUUUACUUAGUGCUAUGGCAGACUUGUUGUCAACUAGGAGAUUGACUUUUUGAGGCUUAAUACCAAGCAGUUCACUCAAUAGGUGCCUAAGCCAAAUUCCCUGACAAGCUGCAUUUGCACUUGCAAUGUACUCAGGCUCACAUGAUGAAAGGGCAACUACCCUUUGCUUCUGUGACACCCAUGUGACCAAAUUCAUACCAACAAAGAAUACUAAGCCACUAGUACUUUUCAUGUCAUCUAUGUUGCUACCUAAGCCACUGUCACUAAACCUAAUUAAUAUGGCUUCAGCGGUUCUAGACCUCGUGUAUCUACAACCAUAGUUUAGAGUUCCAGCAAUAUACCGAAGUAUUUGCUUAACUGCUUCCUAGUGGCUCGUCCUUGGUGUCUCCGUGCAUGUAUCUGCUCACGACACCUACUACAAACGCAAUAUCUGGCCUGUCCCGUGUUAACAAUAUAUCUCAAGUUCCCAAUCACACUCCUAUACUUUGUUGUAUCGACAAGGGGAGACUUAUCUUCCUUGCUCCGUUUCAACUUGUUCUCCUCUAGAACAUGAUAGGGGUUGCACCCUUUUAUUCCUGCUUGCUCAAGAAUCUUUAGAGUAUAAGAACUCUGACACAAGGUUGUCUUUCUCUCAUUAUGAUCUACACGCGAACACAGGAGAAUGGCGUUGCCCAGAGUUACAACCUUUUUGGUUUUAUUUGUUUCCUUAUAUACUGGUGUUUACAUGGUCUGAGCCUCACGACCCUCCCGCCUUGCAUGCUCACAGUGUGUCGUGCCCGUCUAAAACGUCGAGGAUGUUUCAUGCACGAUAUGGCGAUGACCACUCUGGCCGCACCGGCCGUGAACGCAACACGGUUCUAGCUUCAACAUGGCUCGUUCUCACACACAAUUAGCUAAAAUUAGUUAAGCAAACAUGCAAUACCAAAUUAGAUGAAUAAUACCAAAUUAGAUGAAUGUGAAUGCAAAUAAUGCACAGGAUUAACUAACUAACAGAGAAAAAUAAACAGGGAAAGAACUGCUGAUGCCUGAUCUGCUAUACAACAACAACACUACUCUUUUGUAAAAGUUCCCAUGAACAUGAAGUUUUUGGUAAUAUUCCAGCAACAUACAUGAAUUCGCUAGUAUAUAUACUUUUGCUGCUGCUUCCUGCAACUGCAAUGCUCGUGUAAUCGUGUACCACUAACCAAUACCGCCGUGACAGAUCCAACUCCAAGAUCAGAAAUCGAGAUGAAUGGAGUCGCCGCGUGCUUCGUCGUCGUCUACGUGAGAAUGAUAGAUGGAGUCGUCGUGGGCUUUUGCUUCGCCGUCUACGUGAGAUAGAUGGAGUCGCCGUGUGCUCCAGACGACGCGUCCUGCGUCGCGAGAGGAGUGGCGGCGGCAGCGGCAGCGGCACUGCGGUGCGAACGGAUCUGCGAGCUGCUGGUGCCGUUCACCGUCAGCAUCGCGACUACUUCAGCCAUGGAUGGCCUGUCAGCUGGCGACUGCUGCACGCAGAGAAGGCCGACCUGCACGCACCUCUCCAGCCGAAGGAGGAUCUCUGGCCCCGGCUGGCCCACGGCUGGAUCCAGAAGGUUCUCCUUGAUCUUAUUCUGGCUCCAAGACUCCCGUGCCUACAGAAGAUGCAGCGAAAAUAGUGCGCUUCAAUUCAUGGACAAAAGGGGGUCACCUAGCUCUAGCUUCUUGCACAAACUCCCGGCCGGUGGAGUAUAGCUGUUUGCUCACAUCGGAAACGAGCGUCUGGUUGCUGCUGUUCCUUUGGCCACUGACGAUCUCGAUCAGGACGACUCCAAAGCUAUACACGUCGCACUUCAGCGUCAGGCUCGGCCCUCGCGCCGUGUACUCUGGAGCCCUGUAUCCCCUUUUGGCAGUAUAAUCAGUUCAGCAAGUUCUUAAUCUAACCCCCCAAAAAAAACACAGUUCAGAAAGUUGACGAGGAGGUCAGGGUUUCAGCCAUACUCUGUCUGUACCAGUGUCGGAUUCGUCUGGCCAUCGACGAACACUUUGGCGGUGCCAAAAUCUGCAAUUUUUGCUCUCCAGUUUCCGUCCAAGAGCACGUUGGACGGUUUCAGAUCCCUGUGUAUCACCACCUUGCUUAGUCCGUGCAGAUAAGCAACGCCUCUGGCGACUCCUACGAUGAUCUCCAGCCUCCGCUCCCAGUUCAACACAGCGCGUUGGUUGGCGUCUCUUGCUGUCAGUCACACAGAGAACAAGUGAGAGCUCUGAAGUAGCAGAAGAACAUAUAUUAUGGGAUCAUCUCAUCUGUACAGAUGUCAAUAAUCUGCGCGUUAUUAUUAUUAUUAUAAAUCUAAAGCAAGUACCGAAUAUGCAUAGGUUCAAGCUCCUGUUCUCCAUGUACUCGUAGACCAGUAUCCGCUCAUUUCCGUCCUUGCAGUAAGCAAGGAGACGAGCGAGGUUCUCGUGCUUGAGCUCUGACAUCACUUCCACUUCUCUCAUGAAAGUCUCACCACCUCCAUCGGUAAGGUAAGAUUGUGUGAGCCUCUUCACGGCAACCUUGGUACCAUCAGCUAAAUUGCCCUGGUAAUUGCACAGUUAUGUUAUUAGUUGCGCACGUCCAACGGUAAAUACACUACUUCCAGCGCAAAAGCAGGUAUGAUGUGAUUAUGAGAUACGCCUACAUUUAGUCAAAGAUGAAUUUUUUUUUGGAGUUCCGUCCUUCAAGAUGAAAGCUGAUGCUUUGAUUACUCAUCUUUGUUACGUGAGCAACGACCAUAUUAGUAUACCAACUAUCGGGAGUAUUCUACUUGUCAAGAUACAUAGCGAGAAGUUCAUUUAUUUUGAGAUAGACGAACUAUGCCAUCAUAGCGUUUGAUGAAAUAUACUAACACGAACCUCAAAUACGGUGCUGAAUCCUCCACGCCCAAUGACAUUGUCUGCAGAGAAAUCAUUUGUAGCCCUCCUCAAACUAGACAGGUCAACAGAAGGGACUGACGGAGGUCUGCGCAGUUCAGUAGAAGGGACACUCGGAGAGGCACUCUGAGCAGCUGGAAAACUCAGCACAGGCGUUAGCAUGCAUGGUGUGUUGCCCGCUGUUGGCAACCUGAAAUGCUCGAAGUGAAGUGGGGAAGAACAGAAAAUUGGGUCAGUAAUUUUACCUGGGAUUAUUGGUCGCCGGCGCCGCCUAAUCACAAGCACGACCGACAGAACAAUAAGAACCACGGCGACGGCAGCUGCGGAAGCACCAACAACUGGUGCGGUACGAAACGGCCGUUGCGGCGAGGGCCCCGCCGCCGCCGGCAGCUCGGACCUGGCCAGCCUCAGGUAGAGAUCUUGCCCUUUGUCCACGUAUCGGAGGUCGACGAUGUCAUCCGUCCACAUCACGCAGCCGCUACGGACGUCGCCGCCGCGGAUAUCUGCGGCGGCGUAGGCCAAGCACGAGCAGUUGGCGAGGCACCUCGCCGCGCAGUCCUCCACCGUGAUGCUCAUGUCCACCGUCGCGUUGUGUGUGUCCGGUAGCUUCACUCCGCGGACCAACAGGAAACCGUCUGUCGUCGUCGUCGUCCCACUCCCGUUAUUGGCACAGUCCAGCUUCACGUUCCGCUUGCAUCCGCCUGAGGUGUCCCUCAAGGACCACGCGGGCGGCGACGCCGGGCUGAACCCCGUGAGGCAGGUGCAGAACCACGUCGACGCCGCGCCGGCGUCGCACAGCCCGAACGCCCCGCACUUGCCGUAGGCGUCGCAGACGUCCCUGGGGCCCUGGAAGAAGGUCUGCCACGUCCGGGCGCCCGCGUCCCACACCAGGCGCUUGGCCACGCCGGCGUCGGUCAGCACGACACGGGUCAAUGCGGCACCGGGGUUGGAGGUGUAGCCGUAGGAUACCUCCGCUGGGCUUGUCGUCACCUGGUACCAGAUCAAGUUCCUGUACGCCGACACCUCCGGGACGCCGCUGAACCACCGGCCGUUCCACGGGCCGGUGCGGUAGGUCCUGACGUUGCCCUCCCACACCACAAGCUCGGGCAGCCCGCUGGUGUCCAGCGCGCGGCGGUAGGCCCCCGGCGACGGGUCGUCGGCCGAGCGCCACGACGUGAGGUACCACUCGGCGCCGGUCCACUUGUUCUUGCCCAGCUUCAUGCCGGACAGCAGGGUGUUCGACGGGUGAUCGAACGAUUGCCACAGGAUGGCGUCGCUGCUGCUGCUGCUGCCUCCGUCGCGGACGACGAGGUUGCCGGAGUUGAGGAGCUGCGCCUCCGCUGAUGACGAUGAGCUGGUGGAGUUCGACGACCAUAUGGUCUGGCCAGAGCCGUCUAGAAGCAGAAGGCUUCCCGUGUCUCUGACGACCAGCACGCCGGAGUUGCCAUUCACAGGGCGGCCACCGUUCGCCACCCAGCAGACGGCGACACUGGACGCCGAGAACCAGAUGCCGAGGUAUCUCUUGGUCGACGCCCCGGGAGAGAAGAAUCCCAAGGUGAACGUCCCGUCGGCUGAGACGAGCGUCUCGCCGUCGGUGAUGUUGCGGCCCUUGCCGAGCGUGUCGGACUCAGGUACGUCGGCGGCGAUGGCUAUGGGACGAAGUAUCAUAAACGAGAGGAGGAGAAGGUGGACGAAUAUUGUAUCCAUGAUGAUUGGGGAUUCUGGGUUUAGCCCUUGCACGCCUCCAGGCGCUGAUAAGAGAGGAGACUUCGAAGCAUCACCAUCUCGGAUAGAUUAAAGCCCCACCUAGCGGCCAAAUGUUUUUUCUUUCAUUUUUUUUUGUUAAUGUUUGUAAUUUCGUAUGAACAGAAAGUAACAUGCACUUCGCUCAAUUCGGAAGACAUCAGCUAGGUCAAAGUUUGACCUUGUCAAGUUUGAUUUCUAGCGUAUUGUGUAAGAGGAGAAGACCCUAGAUCUUUGGAUAUUACAAUUACAAUUCAUAAAUGCCACUUGCAUUUUCACUGCCGGACUACUUGCAGGUCUUUGUAGGCAACCUGUUUGUGUUAUAUUCUGCAUUUCUAUGCUACACGCCCGUUCAAAUAACAUAAACUAGAUCAGUGAUUGGGAAAAAUAGGAUGAAUGGAUGAAAGUCAACUUCCGUGGUUGGGCUUUCUUGCUUCUCAUAUUUAAUUUCAAGUUGUUUUUGGGAGACGUGGUGACAUAUCCCACGAAGAAGCUCACCAUCACCGAUGAUUGUUAAUAUAGUGAUGUCCUGAUUGUACGUCCCCCUAAUUAAACUCAUCGCUGAAUUUCGAAAACAUCUUCAAACAACAAACAUAACUCAUCCCUCAACUUUUAAAACCGGUAAGAUACCCCCUGUGACAAUUUUAGAAUGGUUUCUUGAGUAGUUUUCCUGGUGGGAUCCACUGGUUAGGGCCUGUUCGGUUAGCUCUCAAUCCAUGUGGAUUGAGUGGGAUUGGAUGAGUUUGAAUCCCAAAUAAGUCAAACUUCUUCUCAAUUUUUUCCAAUCCCAUCCAAUCCAUGUGUAUUGGGAAUAACCGAACAAGCCCUUAGGUGGUCUCUCUCUUACUUUUAAACUGAAAAGUCACUUUUUCAGUCGGACGAAUAAAAUAACUUGUAUAGCUUGACUUGAUCUAUACUAGUCCUGGACGAUGACAUAGUUUAUAUCAAAGUUAUAUACCUCAAUGAAAUCUAUAACCUUAUGGUUGAAAACCCUUUUAUUGAUAGGUCCAAAUAUUCACUACAUGUUCUCUACUUAUUAAUUUCACUUUUUUAAAUUUUUUAAAAUGGCCUCGAGUACAGAAACGCUUUAUGCCAAAUUUGUAGUGCUAAGAGAGAUACGACACUUUAUACUUGAAUUUUAUUUUAUUUGAAAUCAUUUAGGAGCUCAAAUAUUCAAUAAAAGAUUGCAUGACUUCAAAAGUUCAAAACAUGUGGAGCCCGCAAGCCACAUAAAUCCCUAAACAAUUAAAACAACCGUCAAAUCAAGUCUGAAUUAUUGUAGAAGUAAAUUGAAAUCUCUUUUUUUUUCCUCACCAAACAGAAGAGUGAUAUAUAGACUACAUCAUAAUAGUUAAACUACUCUAUAUUCUUCUCUCAGGAUCGCUUAGUCAACCUUAAGAACGAGGCUACAAAGAUACACAAGUCAAACUGCAUUCAAAUUUCCAAUCUGAUCGAGUAGUUUGGAGAAGACAUAUAAACUCAAGAAAACGACAUUGAAAUUUUGUAAAAUUCUUAUGUUCUGUUAUGUGCGACAUAUCCUCGUAUAGGGAAUAGGAGGCUAAAUCAUGAGUAAAGAUCUGAUUUAUAAGAAGCAGAUCUUCAUAUUGCACGAAGACAAGCUUUCAUGAUCUUUCUCGACUGAGAAUUCGAUUAAGUUUUUUAUAAAUAUAAUACUAUGGGGACAACCUUUUUAAACGAAAGAAUCCUUUUAAUAUUUUGUAAGGCCAUUUGAUAGUCUAAAUCUAAAUACCAAAAUAAUAAAUGUCAAUUGUUGGUGUAGAUAGAAGAAUUCGCCGAGGCUUGGCUUUCAUGAGAGAAGCGGAACUGAUGUUAGAACUAAGGCGCAUAUGGGAAUCUUAUUCGGCUCCUUGCUUAUCUCCAUCUCCACGGAGAAUUAGGCCUCUUUUAGAUCAAAGGAUAAUUUCCUAGAUCCUAUGUUUUUCGUUUUUUAACUAAUUAUUGUAAAUUUUAGAGAGUAACUAAAUCAAUAAAUCUGGCUAAUCUAUUGCUAAGUAAAUAAACGUUUGUUUCAGGUAUUACAAUGAAAGUUGGUUUGGUUGAGGGGUUUUAGUAGUGAUAGAGGCUGGUCAAGCACAUUUAUAUUAAGCACACGUACAGCCCACGAAACAGCCCCAAUCGGCCCAGUCCACGAAACAGCCCCAAUCGGCCCAGCCCACGAUGUAACCCUAGUCCCUAGAUGUUUAAGGAGCAGCUGUGUUGCCGCAUUCACAUACCUAUCCCUGUUGGUCGCCCCUCCUGGAGCUCGCCGCCGCCCUCUCGCUUUAUUUUCCCGACCACAACGCCACCGCCCGACGCAAAGUUGCCGCUCCCUGAGUCUCGACAACCGGUGAGCAGCCUCCUCCUCCACCAUCGGUCUCCUCCUCUGUCGAGCUCCUGUGUCGGGUACCUCCCUGACUUGCCUGAGUCGCCUCCACCAGUCCACCGGCGUUCGUGUCGCAGCGAGUCAGUCCACCGGUGUUCCCCAGGCAGCCGGCCAGCGGCGGACGCUUUCAGGCGUCGAGCUUCUGCUCCUUCGGCGUCCAGGCAUCGGGCGCGUCUGGUGGCGCAGCGGCGGGCGACCUCCUUCUCCAACGUCGAGCUCUUAGUUGUAGUCUAAGGGUUAGUUCGGGAAUCCCAUUUUUCCAAGGGAUUUUGAUUUUCCCAAGGAAAAUUAGUUCAUAUUCUCUUGAAAAAAUAGGAAUCCCAAGUUCCCAAACUAACCCUAAACGGGGAAUUCACGGGGUUCUCCGUUAGGGCCCAUAUACCCGAACGGGGACAGGGAACGGGGAAAAAACUUUCCCCACGACUGGGGACGGGGAACGGGGAAAAACCGGUGUCGCGGGGACGGGGACCGGGACGGGGCACUUCCCCGCCGGGGAAUGAACCCAUUACCAUCCCUUGCAUAUCUAUCUAGCACUAUUGUCACGUUCUUUUGUACUGAUGACAAGGUUAGGUUUAAAUGAUGCUAUCUGGAAAAACUUGAACUGUAUAUCCUAGUUCCUAAUUACCUAUCAUGAAUCACCAACAUUAUAUAAUUUUUUGUCAUUUGUGAACAAUCCAAUUUGAGGUGAACCCUGCAUUUGGAUCUGAUCUAAUUACAAGUGUAUACAUUUAUUAUACUAACCUCGACUGUUUGAAAAAAAUUGGGUACUACAAUUAGUGAGGAUGGAGAUGUAAGUUUGGGAGGCCAGAUAGUACCAAAGAAGGACACCUUCUGUUAUUUGGGAUCGAUACUUCGGAGAGAUGGUGAUAUUGAUGAAGAUGUUAGCCAUAGAAUCAAAUCGGGGUGGAUGAAAUGAUGUCAAGCAUCCAAAGUCCUAUGUGACAAGAGAGUGCCACAUAAGUUGAAAGACAAGUUCUACAUGACAGGGAUUAGGUCUGCUAUGUUAUAUGGGGCUGAAUGUUGGUCUACUAAGAGACGACAUAUCCAACAACUAAGUGUCGCAGAGAUGUGUAUGUUGCGUUGGAUAUGUGGGCACACAAGAUUGGAUAGAGUGAGAAACGAUGACAUAUGUGAUCGGAUAGGAGUAGCACUAAUUGAAGAAAAAGCUUAUUCAACACCGGUUGAGAUGGUUUGUGCAUGUCCACCGGAGACCCCGGAGACCCUAGAGGUACCGAUGCAUAGAGGCAUCAUAAGAUGAGACAGUAAUGUGAAGAGAGGUAGAGAUCGACCAAACUUGACAUGGGAGGAGGCAAUCAAAAAGGACUUGAAGGAAUGGAAUAUCCCAAUGGAGUUGUGUUUGGAUAGAAGUGCUUGGAAAUAAGCUAUCCACGUGCUUGAACCGUGAUCAUGCAUUUUUUUCUUUUAGUGCUCUCAAAAGCUUUUCCCUCUCCCUUCUCUCUCUUUCCCCUUUUGGUGACAUCUUGUUGGAUUUCAACUCUAGCCUACCUCAACUUGCUUGGGACUAAAAGACUAUGUUGUUGAUGUGUACCCCCAUGUCGUCCGCCCCUGCUAGCUGAACUCCAUCUUCUGUUUCAUAGUCACUCGUUUUGUAGAGUAUUUUUUUAAGAAUUGAUUCAUUGUGAUACUCUCUUCAAAUUUGUACUCAAAUUAUUUUACUCUUGUGUCAGUGAUGUCUGCAGUUUAAUGCAGUUUCCGCUCCUGUUUUUAUUGUUAAUUAUUGCUCAUUCUAGGUGUACUCUUUGCAGAGCAAGCCUUCUAGAAGUUAAGGAAGCAGCAGAACCAUGGCAUCCCGUUUCUGGGGACAGGUACUUGCUUUCUCUUGCGUAAUGGUACCAGCGUGCCAGUAUGUUUGUUAUGUGCAUACUGAAGUAAUUGAAGCAAUUGCUGUUGAUGCAAGAAUCUAACACUUGCCUGGUCCUUUGCAACUUCAGGGGGACAGUGAGUCUGAGGAGGAGGAGGUGGAAGAAGUUGAGUCAGAACAGGGCAGUGAUAGUGAUGAUGAUGGAGGUCGAGGUGGUGCGGGACGCGGUGCCCAAAACCGAUACUUGAAGAAUCAAGAAGAUGACAGCGAUGAGUCUGAUACAGGUCACCGUGUGAUCCGCUCCCUGAGGGACAAGCGCAACGAGGAGAUGAGAUCUAUUGUUGAUCAGAUGCGUAAUGCAAUGAAGAUCAAUGACUGGGUGAGCUUGCAGGAGAGUUUUGAGAAGCUUAACAAACAUCUUGAGAAGGUUGUUCGUGUCAAUGAAUCUACUGAGGUACCAAAAAUGUAUAUCAAAGCUCUUGUGUUGCUGGAGGACUUCCUUGCUGAAGCCCUUGCAAACAAGGAGGCCAAGAAGAAGAUGAGCAGCAGCAAUUCGAAGGCAUUCAAUGCGAUGAGGCAAAAACUCAAGAAGAACAACAAGCAGUAUGAAGAGCAGAUCCAGAAGUGCAGGGAGCAUCCAGAGAGUUUUGAAGAUGAAGCUGCAGAUGAUAAAGAUACGGAUGAUGACGAUGUUGAUGAAAGUGAUGCAGAGAUUGAAGAUCCUGAUAAAAUAGCUAUGUCAGAAUCAGAAGAGGAACAAGAUGAAGAGGAUGAUGACAAGGAUGGUUGGGAACAGAAAAGGAGUAAGAAGGAUAAGCUGAUGGAUAAGCAGUUCUUGAAAGAUCCAAGUGAAAUCACAUGGGAUAUUGUCGAUAAGAAACUCAAAGAGAUUGUAGCAUCUAGGGGAAAGAAAGGUACUGGAAGGAUCGAGCGUGUUGAGCAGUUAACAUUUUUGACCCGUGUGGCCAAAACACCAGCUCAGAAGCUUGAAAUCCUCUUCCAUGUGAUUUCUGCGCAGUUUGAUGUUAACCCUAGUCUACUUGGGCAUAUGCCAGUCAAUGUGUGGAAGAAGUGUGUCAAUAAUAUGCUUCUUGUGCUUGAUAUACUCCAGCAGUAUCCUAACAUUGUAGUAGACACCUCGUUUGAGCCUGAUGAGAAUGAAACUCAAAAGGGUGCAGACUACAAUGGAACAAUACAUGUUGUGGGUGACCUGGUUGCAUUCCUUGAGAGACUGGACUCUGAAUUUUUGAAGACCUUACAGUGCACAGAUCCGUACACAAAAGAUUAUGUUCAGAGGCUCAGAGAGGAACCCCUGUUUCUGGUUGUCGCACAGAACGUCCAAGAUUAUCUUGAAAGGGUUGGAAACUUCAAAGCUGCUGCCAAGGUUGCACUGCGCCGUGUUGAACUAGUUUACUACAAGCCCCAAGAAGUGUACGAUGCAAUGAGAAAACUCGCAGAGCAGCCUGAGGACUGUGUGGACGAUGAUGAUGCAGAGGCUGGUGAUGAACAUAAAGCAGUAGAUGACAAUAGAGGACCAUCACCAUUUGUUGUGAUUCCAGAGGCUGUGCACAGGAAGCCUACUUUUCCAGAGAGCGGUAGAACUUUGAUGGAUGGAUUGAUGUUCUUAAUCUACAAGUAUGGAGAUGAAAGGACCAAAGCCCGUGCAAUGCUGUGUGACAUAUAUCACCAUGCGAUCUCUGAUGAGUUUUCAGUGGCUCGCGACUUGCUUUUAAUGAGUCAUUUGCAAGAUGGUAUUCAGCUCAUGGACAUAUCAUCGCAGAUUUUAUUCAAUAGAGUCAUGGCCCAGUUAGGGCUGUGUGCUUUCAGGGCUGGUUUGAUAAAUGAAGCCCAUGGUUGCUUGACUGAGCUCUAUUCUACUGGGAGGGUGAAAGAAUUGCUUGCACAAGGUGUGCAACAAAGCCGAUACCAUGAAAAAACUCCCGAACAGGUAAAAUAAAACCCCUAUGCAAUUCAUCCUGUUUUUCUUGUAAAUGCUGUUUUCAUAGCCCUUAACCCUAAUCACACAAGCAAGACCCUUGUUUGAAAAUUUCAUGUGAAAUUGAUAAUAUUCACACAGUAAUAUCUCUUGCUUGCAUCUGUUAAUUAUUUAUGUUUCUGUUGCUUUUUGAAUAUGAUAUAUAACGCUUUAUCCUGUUGUAUGCAGUAAUUCUGACCCAAAUCACAAAUCUUGACUUUUUUGUAUAUUGAGCUGUAUUCAUUUUCGUUAUGCAGAUGUAGGUCUUUUGUGGUAUUUGUAGUUAAUCUUGUUUUUAUUAAUAGUAGAGCUCACCACAUAUAAAUUUAUAUUGUAAAAAAUGGACAGACCCAUUGCUGGCAUGAGUGGGGUCUGGGGAAGGAAUAACCGAGGCAAGCCUUACCCCUGCAUUUUGCUCAGAGGCUGCGUUGAAUACAGGGCCUUUGGCUCAGUGAAAAGUCUUCCCACCACUGCGCCAAGCCUGUCCUUAUAAUCAUCCAUGCUGUUCGCUGCAGCUAGUUUGCAGCAGCAGCUGCUGCUCGGCUGUUGUUCAUACAGCGGCAUGCCGUUCGCUUGAGCUUAAGCUAGAAAGUAGCAGCCAGCCGUGGUAAAGCCAGCCGAACAAGAUCUUUUCCUUAUAUUAAACUACUACAAUUGUAGUCUAUAAUUUAAAGAUUAUACAAUACAUAUAAUUUUAUAUAUUAUAUAUUCUUUUAAUUGUAGACUACAAUUAGGGUAGUUUUAUACAAGGAUCAAAAGAUGAUUCUUUUCCUUUUGGUUAUAUCAGUGCUAAUGCAGCCCUAUCACUGCAGGAAAGACUUGAGAGGAGAAGACAAAUGCCUUACCAUAUGCAUAUAAACCUGGAGCUUUUGGAAGCCACACACUUGAUCUGUGCGAUGCUGAUUGAAGUCCCCAAUAUGGCUGCCAGCACCUAUGACAAGCGGAGACCUAUGAGCAAAACAUUCCGAAGGCUUCUUGAAGUGAGUGAAAGGCAGACAUUUGUUGGGCCGCCCGAGAAUGUGAGGGACCAUGUAAUGGCUGCCACAAGAGCCCUCAACAAGGGUGAUCACCAAAAGGCUUUCAGUGUCAUAAAUUCGUUGGAGAUUUGGAAGCUUUUGAGGAACAGAGAGCAUGUCCUUGAGAUGUUGAAGCUUAAGAUCAAGGAGGAAGCUCUUAGAACCUAUCUCUUUUCAUACUCGUCUUCGUACGAGUCCUUAAGCCUUAACCAGCUCACUACCAUGUUUGAUCUCAGCGAGCAGCAUGCCCACAGCAUUGUUAGCAAGAUGAUGAUGCAUGAAGAGCUUCAUGCUAGCUGGGACCAGCCAACAAAGUGCAUCGUAUUCCAUAGUGUGGACCAAACUAGGCUUCAGGGGCUACUCUUCCAGAUGGCAGAUAAGCUCUCGGUCCUGGUGGAGAUCAAUGAGAGGGCAUACGAGGCAAGAACUGGUGGUGCUCUCGAGGGGGUACCGCCCAGGCGCAGGGGCGAGGGUCAGGAUAAUAUGGGAAAGUGGCAGGAUAACUUUGUCUCGUCACAGGGGCGGCAGGGUGGUGGCAACAGGUUUGGAUACUCCAGCAGAGGUGCAGUAUCUGGUCAAAGUGGUGGUGGACACCAGAGGGACAGGGGCAAUCAGGGUUACCGCGGGGGCUAUGGUGGCGUUUCAAGGUUUCAGGAUGCAAGGGGUCGCAACCAGUCUAAUCCAUCAGGCAGAGGUGGUGAUGGUGGUGCACGCAUGGUGAACCUGAACAGGGUUGGUAGAGUUUAGAAGUGAUAAUUUUCAGCUCAAGUAAUCCUGAAAUUCUCCUAAAAGCCAAGUUCUGAAUCACUGCAUUUUACAUAGUUUCCUGUUCUGGGCUGAGUCAUCUACCUGUUUCCUACAUUUCGUUGUAGCCUUUUAAAUUAAGGGGCUAAGAAAUUGAACUAAGAGUUUGGUACUGUUUUGUGGGAGUGUGACGAUGUAUUCGCUCCAAUAUUUGAUAUCUAUCCGUGACACUUGCUAUAAACUGUACUUUUCUUUGUGUUAUGUGGUGUUCAUUGGGUUAUGAAAAAGAAAAAGGCAUGUCGAAGAGAGAAGAUCGUUAUUCUAUUCGCGUUCGGUAAGGUAAGAUUGUGUGAGCCUAUCUCUUUUCCAUCGGCAAGGUAAGAUUGUGUGAGCCUCUCCCUGGUACCAUCAGCUAAAUUCCCCUGGUAAUUGCACAGCGCAAAGCAGGUGUGAUGUGACUGUGAGAUACGCCUACAUUUAGUCAAAGAUGAAAUUUAUUUCAGAGUUCAGUCCUUCAAGACGGAAGCUGCUGCUUUGAUUAUUUAUCUUUGUCACAUGAGCAAUGGUACUAGUAUACCAACUAUCGGAAAUAUUCUACUCGCUCCGGCCUAAAAUAAAUCUAGCUAGACUGGCACUUGUCUAGAUACGUAGCGAGAAGUUGAUUUAUUUUUAGAUGGAUGAAGUAUGUCAUCAUAGCGUUUGAUAAAAUACACUAACACGAACCUCAAAUACGGUGCUGAAUCCUCCACGGCCAAUGACAUUGUCUCUACAGAGAAAUCAUUUGUAGCCCUCAUCAAAGUAGACAGUUCAACAGAAGCAACUGAUGGAGGUCUGCGCAGUUCAGUAGAAGAGGCACUUGCCGUCUGUCAUCGUCGUCGUCGUCCCACUCCCGUUAUUGGCACUGUCCAGCUUCACGUUCCGCUUGCAUCCGCCUGAGGCAGGUGCAGAAGGACGUCGACGCCGCGCCGGCGUCGCAGACGUCCCUGGGGCCCUGGAAGAAGGUCUGCCACGUCCGGGCGCCCGCGUCCCACACCAGGCGCUUGGCCACGCCGGCGUCGAUCAGCAUGACAUGAGUCAAUGCGGCGCCGGGGUUGGAGGUGUAGCCGUACGUAGGAGGAUACCUCCGCUGGACGAGUCAAAGAAGCGCUCGCUCGACAGCUCGUCGUCAUCAGCCAGAGCCAGCGCCUUGGGUCGUCAACGCCCCGCUGCUGAAUUGGUCCGUCCCCGUGCUGCGUAGCAAAAGAGGCGACGACGCUGACGGCUGACGCCGUCGCCAUGGUCCGCACCGCACCUGCCUUGCUGCCCGACGCAGGGCGUCAGUUAUUUAGAACCGUCGCUGUUGCCGUGACCUGUCCUGCUUCAGAAUCACUCAAGCUUGGACGAAUCGUCGGAGCAAGGGAACUGAUCUGACGAGCUAGCGAGCCCGGCAAGGUCAAAGUUUAAUUAAAGUGCUUGUCCUUGCCGUUCCACGUUGUUCUCUAGAGACUGGCUAGAGUGACGCAGUGGCUGCAAAUGGGCCGGUUGCGCAUGUCUUGCCGAUCGAUCAGACACACACACAAAAUGACACAAAAGUCAGCAGCCCCCGCCAACCACCGGGAAAGGAAGACGUCACUGCAAAAUCCUACGAUCGUAUCGUAUUGGUUUUUUAUCGAUUCUAGCAGAUUUUUACCCGGCCUGUUGCACCGUCAUGAGGUAAUAAAGUAUACGUCGUCCUCGUCUUGCAUGUUCACCAGGACUUUGUAGCCGCCCAGGCCACUGGGCCAGCAUCAGUUCAGACGGAGAGUACAGAACAAUGGAGAAGAGAAGACCCAACGCAUUCAGUGAAGAUGCAGCUAACACAGGCUGUUUUUUUUUUUGACUGUCGGGAAGAG
This 36370-nucleotide long non-coding RNA is filed under the name Zea mays. RNAcentral's name for it is "long non-coding RNA (ZMAY_LNC000681)". The record is from RNAcentral. Lineage: Eukaryota; Viridiplantae; Streptophyta; Magnoliopsida; Poales; Poaceae.